Molecule: ribosomal RNA, 492 nt
Filed under: uncultured bacterium
Lineage: Bacteria
Description: partial 16S ribosomal RNA
Rfam family: Bacterial small subunit ribosomal RNA
Source: RNAcentral
AGUGAACGCUGGCGGUAGGCCUAACACAUGCAAGUCGAACGGCAGCACAGUAAGAGCUUGCUCUUACGGGUGGCGAGUGGCGGACGGGUGAGGAAUACAUCGGAAUCUACUUUUUCGUGGGGGAUAACGUAGGGAAACUUACGCUAAUACCGCAUACGACCUACGGGUGAAAGCAGGGGAUCUUCGGACCUUGCGCGAUUGAAUGAGCCGAUGUCGGAUUAGCUAGUUGGCGGGGUAAAGGCCCACCAAGGCGACGAUCCGUAGCUGGUCUGAGAGGAUGAUCCGCCACACUGGAAGUGAGACACGGUCCAGACUCCGACGGGAGGCAGCAGUGGGGAAUAUUGGACAAUGGGCGCAAGCCUGAUCCAGGCAUACCGCGUGGGUGAAGAAGGCCUUCGGGUUGUAGAGCCCUUUUGUUGGGAAAGAAAAGCAGCAGGUUAAUACCCCGCUGUUCUGACGGUACCCAAAGAAUAAGCACCGGCUAACUUCGUG